This 460-nucleotide ribosomal RNA is filed under the name uncultured bacterium. Its description in RNAcentral is "partial 16S ribosomal RNA". It matches the Rfam family "Bacterial small subunit ribosomal RNA", at positions 338 to 795 of the family's 1533-position model. The record is from RNAcentral.
CCUACGGGUGGCUGCAGUGAGGAAUAUUGGUCAAUGGACGCAAGUCUGAACCAGCAAUGCCGCGUGCAGGAAGACGGCUCUAUGAGUUGUAAACUGCUUUUGUACGAGGGUAAACGCAGAUACGCGUAUCUGUCUCAAGGGAUCGUACGAAUAAAGCUCGGGUAAAUCCGUGCCAGCAGCCGCGGGAAUACGGAGGAUUCAAACGUUUUCCGGGUUUAUUGGGUUUAAAAGGUGCGUAGGCGGUCGGAUAAGUUAGAGGUGAAAUCCCGAGGCUCAACUUCGGAAUUGCCUCUGAUACUGGUCGGCUAGAGAUUAGUUGCGGUAGGCGGAAUGUAUGGUGUAGCGGUGAAAUGCUUAGAGAUCAUACAGAACACCGAUUGCGAAGGCAGCUUACCAAGCUACUUCUGACGUUGAGGCACGAAAGCGUGGGGAGCAAACAGGAUUAGAUACCCUGGUAGUC